GCUCGUUCCCCUCCCCCUCCUCUCUUUCUCUCUCGCGCUUGACUCCCCCGCCGCCCCUUCCCGUCCCCACCCCCACCCCGACGCCGUUCGCUCCCCAUCCACCAUCCCAGCGCGAUGGCUGGGAGGACCGCGCCCGCCUCCCUCCCCUCCUUCUCCCUCACGCCCGACUCCCUCGCUGCCCCUUUAUCCUGGAUCUCGUCAUGGACGCUACCACGACCAACGGUUCGACGGAGCAGGCGCCGCACUCUGCGCCACGGGACGGAGCCCGUCCCCACCCGACACCGGCCACCUCCACCCCGAGCCCCUCCGAGAAGUGAGUGAUUUCCAUUUCUUCGAUUGGAUGGCGCGCGGUCGGGCCAACGCACCUCUCUGUCCCCCUCCCCUCCCGUGGUGACAGCUUCCUCUAGGAGAUGAGCGCGCCCGCCCCCGCGCGCACCACCACCACCACGCGUCCAUGCCCCUCGUGCACCUUCUCGCCCGAGAUUGAUAUCAUGUCCAAGUUCUUCAAGCUGAUGGUGGUUCUACAAUUAAUGAAUGAUUUGAACUGAAGUGUUCAAGAUGCCGCUAUCUCUUGUAUUGAGGUUAGUUAAUUCCAUAUUUGAUAUUGUCUGUGUAUGCCUACUUCAGCCGACAUUGUGUUUUUUCUAGACCCAUGGUGACUGGUAUGAUCUCUAUUUCUAUUGGACUUGUUCAAUUUCCCAAUAGUUACAUCCCAUAUUUACAAGCUGGAGAGAUUGAAACAUUUUUUAUAACAUCUUAUCUAUUAAAACUCCAUGUCGUUUGCUCCACCAGGGGCUUCCAGUGCGCUUUUUUCCCUCGAUCUCGUGUGAUCUGAGUGUGACAAGGCUUAUAGUGUGCUUGAGGUUCUUCGACCUCUCUAUAAUUCCCCUAAGAUACUGGAACAAAAGGUAACUGUUGCGAUACAUGUCAAUCUUCAAUUUCGUUGUCGCUUAGCAGUUGUUGGGCUUUGGUACCUAGUCUGUAAUUUUGCUGAUGCACCAGCGACACAUAUUUAUCAUUGUUUGUUUUUUAAUCAAUAACAAAGCACAGGUACAAUAUAAUCUUAUAUAGCUUUUAAGGUAUGUAAACAUCCACUUUAGUGAUGCUAACAAAUGUAUAAAAUAAUUAUUAUUAUUUUUUCAUAGCAAUAUAUUUUAUCAUAUUGCAUCUUAGUUCAUGCUACCUGGAUGUAAAUGUGGUGCGGUUUAGUUUAGUAAGAUUUUCACUAAUCACUACAUAGUGCAGCACUGGGCUGUUAAUAUUUUUUGUACCAUGUGUCAUAAGCAUGAGAUGUUGCCUGUAGAGUACCAAUGCUUUAUUGCAGUCUUCCUCCUCGUCUGCCCCAAUGUCGGCAAGUCAGCCCUCUUCAACAGAUUCUAGAUGAUGGUACGACAAAUUAUUUUAGGAGUGCUUUGACAUAAUUUAAAGCUUGGAAGGGAGCUUUCUAUGAUUUAUUUUUCUGACUGUUUCGUCACAUGUUCUUUCCCUAGAUGAAAGUAUUGAUUUAUUUUUGGUUCUGCAGGAUCAUUGCGUCUCUGCGAGCUAAUCAGUUCUGUGAGCGUCUCCCUAGCCCCAAUGGCGAGUCAAUUGUUGAUUGCCAUCAGAUCUCAAAGAUGCCAAAUCUUGCAUUCACCAUAGCAAACAAGACUUUCACCUUAACACCAGAGCUGUACAUAGUGAAGUUGGAGCAAGCAGGACAAACUAUCUGCAUCAAUGGGUUUAUGGCAUUUGACGUACCGCCUCCUCGUGGUCCUCUCUGCUACGCUAAACAUAUCUGUACUACUCUUAAGUGUGCAAUGAGGGCGUCCACCGAGGGCAUCACCGUGCCCCCGCUCGCCCCCUCCACGCCCGCGCCUGUCUGCGUCCGCCCCCUUCGUCUCCCCGCAAUGGCCGCAUCCCUACCUCAUGUCUACGACGACAACUAGGUUAAACAUGAAGAAGUCAUCGGGCUCGGGCUCGGUGUCGUUGCCGCGGAGCAUCCCGGAGCUGUACGAGGAGAGGGGAGCCAGCAGCCUCCGGGAGUUCGGGUUCCAGGAGCUCCGGGCCGCCACCAGUGACUUCAGCCGCCUGCUCAAGGUCGGCGAGGUGGCUUCGGGAGCGUUUACAAGGGCGUCGUCCGCCUUCCUGGCGGGCCCGCCGGCGGCACGGUAGUUGCCAUAAAAAACUCAAUCCCAAUGGUCAUCAGGUAUGGUCGUGUGGAUCGGUGUUUUCUUGGCUCACCUGUGUCAAUACCAUCUUGUCGUUGUUGAUCACGAAUUCGUCAGCAUUUUUACAGUAUAUUGCCUACCAUAUACAUUAUCUGUGUGUGUGUGUGUGGGUGAACCCUACAUCCCGUAGAAGUAGAACUACACAGGGUCUCUGUUUUUUGGAUCAUGAAAUGGACCGUACCUUGCAUGACUCUGUACAAUUCAUCUCGCUAAUGUGUCUGUGAAGUAUCUAUCAUUUUGCUAGCCAUGUUUCAUUUCAGAAGUUCAAGGUUAUCUCAUUCUGGCAUAUCUCAUUUGCCUGCUGAUGAAGUGAAGCCUUUGGUUAAAUAUGAUAAUGAUGAAGAUGCACACUCACCUGGUGGUCGUGGAAGGGGUCGUGGUGGUCGAGGCCGUGGGCGGGGCAGGGGCAGAGGUGGACGUGGAAAUGGGUUCAAUGAGUAUGCUGAUGCUGGUUGGGAAGACGAUCACGCCCGUGCAUAUAUGGGCAAUGGAUAUGCCCGUGGAAGAGGUCGCAGUUUCAGGGGCCGUGGUAGGAGAGGCGACGACGAUAACCAGCCUGAAUACCAACAGGUCGGAGGUUAUUUCAAGAAGAUCCAAUUGAACCAAAAACUUGAAUAAAAUUUCCAACAUUUCUGGAAGACGACUCCAGUCCAUCUGCAGCGGUCCUUGUUGGGAUAGGUUUCAAAGGCAUGAGAGUGACGAGGGUCAAAAAUCUGAACCUCUACGCUUUUGGUUUAUAUAUGCAACCAACUUCUAUCCGUGAGAAGUUGGGUCCUAAGUAUGCUUCAUUUCCAACUGACAAGCUGAUGGAGAACCCUGAUUUCUAUAGUGAUCUUCUCAGGAAAUGGGUUCAAUGAGUAUGCUGAUGCUGGUUGGGAAGACGAUCACUCCCCUGCAUAUAUGGGCAAUGGAUAUGCCCGUGGAAGAGGUCACAGCUUCAGGGGCCGUGGUAGGAGAGGCGGCGACAAUAACCAGCCUGAAUACCAACAGGUCGGAGGUUAUUACGAGGAGGCACCUGUUCAUGCUCCAGCUUUAGAUUUUCACCAUUUGUAAUGGAACUGAAAUCAGCCUCUCAUCGAAGUGGAAACCUUUUUUUAGUCGUAAACAUUUACAUGGUUUAUCCAGUGGUAUGCUGAUGAAAGAUGAUAAGUUUCGCUUAAUAUAAUGUAUAUGAAGGUCCUGGGUACGUCAAAUUUUGUCCACAUUGAACCAGUACGAAUGACAUCUUCCUUGAAAGUUAUAGAAAUGCUUCAAAGUUCAAAUG
Molecule: RNA transcript, 3471 nt
Organism: Zea mays
Lineage: Eukaryota; Viridiplantae; Streptophyta; Magnoliopsida; Poales; Poaceae
Gene name: aspartic proteinase pseudogene
Exons: 14
Source: RefSeq, marked validated